RNAcentral lists this long non-coding RNA (2564 nucleotides) under Olea europaea subsp. europaea. The stretch from base 127 to 269 matches the Rfam family "MIR403 microRNA precursor family". Lineage: Eukaryota; Viridiplantae; Streptophyta; Magnoliopsida; Lamiales; Oleaceae. The record is from RNAcentral.
AUUUGGCCCACAGCCGCCAACCAAAACUACUCCUGCUGCCACAUCUUCCUGCCCUCUUUGCACAAAAAUGAAUUAUAUUUGAGGAAAUUUCCGUACAGUUUUAUGUUUUGAUACAACGUGGAAGAGGCAUAUGUCGAGUUUGUGCGUGAAUCUAAUGUUUAAACACACACCUAGGUUUUGAGGGAUUUGGCAGUUAAUUAACACCAAAUCCCCCUUUCUGAAGUGUUGUCUUUGUAUGUUAGAUUCACGCACAAACUCGUAAUAUGUCUUUUCGUUUAAUCUAGUUAGAUUUUACCACCUCCAGUGCAGAAUUCUCAGAGAUCGGGGCUUUUUUAUACUGUUUUUUUCCAUACCUUUUUUAUUAUAUUUUUCUUACUCUGUUACGAUUUCAGUUUUGAAUUGAUUUUGGAUGGAAUCCUUUGAUUGAACAGUCUGGAGAAAGGAAUAAGAUUUUAAGAGAUUAACUAUUACUCAAUUAAAAACUACAGCUUGUGAUUGUUAAAUUUUCAAGUUUUACCUGCGAACAAGUAUGACGCAUAAGAGCGUAAUUAUUGGCUGCUGCUGCUGCUGCUGCUUCUUCCUUUUUUUUUUUUUUAAUAUCAUUUGCUUCUUGUGUCCUGUAUCAAUUAUCAUCUUGUCUCUUGCUUAAUAACUCCUGAGGUCUAAAAUUAUGAGAUUGUUAAUUAUGAUGUAUGCCUUACUAUUUUUCAAGAUAUUGGAAAAUUACUCAAGGUGGUGUUUUUAGAAAUAAAUUUAUGCCCUAGAAUAAGCAUGUAACUAUGGUUUGGUAUAAUUCAGAUAGGCAGUGUAAGACGCUGGAUGGAAGUAUUCUAGAUAUUUAUUAGCAAUACUGGUAGUGUUAUCAUCUUGUACAACUUCUUGAUCUGUAUCACGAUUUGUGAUGGUUUGUCAAUCACUGUGGUUUGAUUUUUUUAACUCUUCUGAUUUGGUGGUCGUUUUUCUUUCCAAUCCAAGUAGCUUCAUUGGCAGUUUGUUUGCCUAGUCAAUGCUUAGAGGAUCAAAAGAUCUGUCUUUGUUUACUACUUGUAAAUAUUAUUUUUUCCUAAUUUGAAUUUGGUCUGAUGGCUUAAUUCGUGCUUUUGAGGCUUCUCUAACUGUGAGGUCUGGAAAGGAUUAAUCCGAUUUGGUAAAUUUUGUAUUAUUCUUAUGCGGUUAAAUCUUAGCUUAUAUCACUUCAUCGUCCCAAGUGACAAGUAGAAUUACAUCUUCAUUGGAAAGGAUUAUCUGAAUAAGUUCAUAAAUUCUUAUAAUAUUUUAUAGUUAGCUUGUAUACUUCAAUCUAUUAUGCAAUUAUAUUGAAAUAGAAAAUAAAGUGAAUCGUAUUGUAUUCAUCUUCAAUGCAUCCCAGAGUGACUUAUUUUGCACCUAUUGGUUUUUUCCUUCUCCUCUCUGAUUUCUUGCUUCUGUUUGAGCUAACUAGCAGUUAUAGAAUAUUAUAGAAUGGUGCAAAGUGAAGGAAAAGAAUGAGUAAACCCUUUCGCAUUUCAAAUUCAUUAAUGUUUCUGUUUAUUUUAUUGAAACCAAACAUUACAGAGUGGAUAGUUGCAGGAAUAGAAACACGUGUCCAUGUUUUCAUAGAUUCUAAACUACUUGGAUGUUAUUUGCUCAUGGAAGCAUAUCUGAUGAUAUGAGAUUAAUCCAAAGACUUUCUGUAUAGUAAAUGAACAUUAGAAAUGUUGCAUUAAAUUUUAUUUCUACUCAUUAACUUCAUGUUCUCCACACGCACGCAGGAAACUGCUUUCUCUGUCAGAAGUUACUGAUAUAUGCUGCACUGUUAUUUUCUUUACUGGAAAACCAAAUUUAGUUAAAUUUUUAGAUUAUUUUAGAAGCCUGAAUGUUUUAUUUCAGCAGUUAGGAACUGGAGAAGGUUUCCAUUAUUUUAAAAUGCCAAUUUGGAAGCUAUAGCCUAUAAGGAACCUAUAUUUGUAUAUGAUGUAGGCUCUUUCCUUAGAAUCGAGCUACAGUUACAAAAAAAUUGACUGAAUUUUUACAGAAUUACACUUGUCAAGAUUUCAUUUGCAGUUGGGAAAAAAAUCUGCAGAAAACUGCCAAUCAAGUGCUGUCAACUCAACACCUGUAAAAAUUCUGUAAACAGUAAUCCUGUAAGUACGGCUUUUUCCCUUAUUCAAAUUUUAAGCUAGAUGACAAAUGAAGAAAUUUGAUUAUACGCACAAGUGCUACUUCUUAUGGAAAUGAUGAUCUGAGUCAGGUAAGUUCCCAUAAUUUUGUUAUAUUGCAUGUUUUGCUUGUAUAUUUUAUUUACAAUAGAAUGAGUAAUGUUAUUCAUAGUGAAAGCUAUCGGUAGUCGUUUUGCACAUGUGUAUGCCACAUAGAACGAAUGUGGAUAAUCUUCAUUAUGAAUGGCAUUAUUCCAAUAAAAUUGAUCUCCUAUCCUUAGGGGACUGGAUAGAAACUUCCCACUACUUUGGCCAAAGGUAUUGGACUAAAUUUGUAAUUUACCUUUACGAAAAAAAUUAAUAAUAUAUAUAGCGGGUAGAUGCAGGAUUUUUAAGUUCAGAGGGCUUAAAAAAUUUCUGUUAGAG